GGGAGAGUGUCAGGUAGUCGACAGCUGACACUUUGUUCUUCACAUCGAAUUUCUAUGUAUGCAUAUCAUUUGUCUGGGUAUUUUGCUGAAACUCGAUUAUUUUUUUCUAAUGUGCAAUUGUUCCCGAUCACCCGUGAGGAGAGAAAGGAGUUUGGAGAGAAGAUUGAGGAGUCCUCAUAACAGCCAAAGCCUUAAGCGUUGUAGGGCUUCACCACCAGUAUUCAAUGGGAGGAGGCACGAUCAAUCCCCUGAAGGGAGGACCACAAGAGCGGUGUAACCUCUCCUUGCAUUGAAUAGUGAUUCAAUGAGCUAGAUCUCAAUUCAGAUUGUGACAGGAGAUAUCUCAUUACAAGGAACCCAAUCCAAUAGAGCAUUUGCUACUCUUAAAAGUUCUAUGUGAACUCCGAGCUCAAGUCCGUCCUUAAUUUUCAUAUAUUUUUUAUUUUUUCAUGUCUAGGCGGUUUACAUGGUUUUUAACCAUUAAAGCACCUAAAUUUAUGUUUACAAUUGCGUUGUUUUUUAUUGUUGAUAUCGAUUAAAACACUAUAUUUAGGUUAUUGGAUUAUGCUUAUAAGAGUAUGUUAACAUAUUCAUUUUGAUAAUUACCACUUGCUUUGAUACA
Molecule: long non-coding RNA, 622 nt
Organism: Malus domestica (apple)
Lineage: Eukaryota; Viridiplantae; Streptophyta; Magnoliopsida; Rosales; Rosaceae
Source: RefSeq, a predicted model, not a curated record